This 575-nucleotide long non-coding RNA is filed under the name Zostera marina. RNAcentral's name for it is "long non-coding RNA (ZMAR_LNC001329)". Lineage: Eukaryota; Viridiplantae; Streptophyta; Magnoliopsida; Alismatales; Zosteraceae. The record is from RNAcentral.
UAGAAUACACGAUGAGAGAAGAAAAACGUUUCUAGGCGACUCCAAAGGCGAUUUUUAGGCAAUCAUACCCGACACCCCUCCGGUGACACUCCUCUCGCUAGGGUCCACUCUCUGUUCCUUUCAAGAUUGUACACUGUUUCCAACUGGAGUUAUGGAAGUGGAGGCUAGACUAUCUAGCUUGUAACACAAGUUGUCCGACCCUGUGUUUGAGUAAACGAGGGGGGUGGUUAUCCAGUCCUCACUGUGUAUUUGCGUCGACGAGGACCUACCCUCCCUCCUCUCCUUUUCACUUUCACGGAACUCCCCUGUGAAGGUCCGUCCACUUAACCUCCCUUUGUUUCAGGACUUGAGGAAGCCGGAAUGGAGAUGGUGUUGGCACGGUCUUAGUCAGAAUACAAUCGCGGAUUUAACUUGCUAAUCAUGAUUGGGGUGUCGCCCAUCAUUUCCCACGUCCGAUCACAAUAUUUGAGAUAAUCAACCAUUCUAUUGAGAAUACACAGAUUAUCUUAGUUUAAAUCUUAUUAUCCUUAGUUUAAUCUUAUUAUCUUAAGCUAUUUUAGAUGAUUAGUCAGGCC